This 31-nucleotide transfer RNA is filed under the name Myobatrachus gouldii (turtle frog). RNAcentral describes it as "partial tRNA-Met". Lineage: Eukaryota; Metazoa; Chordata; Amphibia; Anura; Myobatrachidae. The record is from RNAcentral.
GAACAUGUUGGUUAAAUCCCCUCCUUUACUA